Molecule: ribosomal RNA, 497 nt
Filed under: uncultured bacterium
Lineage: Bacteria
Description: partial 16S ribosomal RNA
Rfam family: Bacterial small subunit ribosomal RNA (bases 54-497)
Source: RNAcentral
GGGGGGGGGGGGGGGGGGGGGGGGGGGGGGGGGGUCGGGCGGAGGGGCGGGAAGGGGGCGGGUCUGGUGUUAGCUUCGGCCGUGUGAGGCCCGCGUGGAUCGCCUACCUGUAUGCCUGUGCUCACUUCUGGACACCGGAGCUAAUACCAGAUAAUCUUUUGCACCGCAUGGUUCCCAGGUCAAGAACCGUCUUGCUGUCACUUAUAGCUGGGUCCGCGCUGUAUUAGCUAGUUGGUAAGGUAACGGCUUACCAAGGCAACGAGGCGUAGCCGACCUGAGAGGGUGAUCGGCCACACUGGAACUGAGACACGGUCCAGACUCCUACGGGAGGCAGCAGUAGGGAAUCGUCCGCAAUGGGCGAAAGCCUGACGGAGCAACGCCGCGUGAGUGAUGAAGGUCUUCGGAUCGUAAAACUCUGUUAUUAGGGAAGAACAAAUGUGUAAGUAACUAUGCACGUCUUGACGGUACCUAAUCAGAAAGCCACGGCUAACUACGUG